GAACUGGCAGGGAAAGAUCAUGCCGAUUGUCUCUAGCAUGGCAAUGAAAGGAACCAUCCAAGAUGUAGGACGAGAGGGAGGCGCAUGGAUCACAGAGCCCACACGUCACAAGUGAAAUACCAUUACUUUCACCCUUUUCCAUUUGCUCGGAUAGGCUUUACAGUGUUCCUUCAUCAUGCAGAGCUUUAUCUGCAUGUCCAGUACAUGAAGGCCUAUUGAUGCUCUUGGCUUGCAGAGUUUCCAGCAAGAGGUGUCAAAAGUGUCCACAGAGAUAAUUAGCUUGUGGUGGCUAAACGUUCAUAGCGACGUAACUUUUCGACCCAUCAAUGUUGGCUCUUCCUACGACUGUGAAGCAGAAUUCACGAAGUGUUGAAUUCUUUGCCCACCUGACUAGGUUUUCAAUAAUUGUAAGACAGAUUAGUUUCACCCUCCAAACGACUGUCAUUGCAGUAGGAAAGCUGCUCAGUAUGAAAGGAACUGCAAGUUCACAUGUAUGACACACAGUGGCUGCCCAGGGGCCCUGGGGUGCAAGACUACCACCUGUAGAAAAACGCCUGAACACCUGUAAUGCUGAUUCCCGAAUGGUCAAGACGAUGUCUCGCGGAAGUUGCAACAAUCGAGAGGCUCUAAACAAAGAUGGGCAAAGAGAAUUUUUGGUCACACCAUCAAGGUGUGAUGUCCACACCUUCGCCUGAGUGAUUUCAGUGACCAGUUUCUUAAGAAGUGAUCACCUUACUAUGAUAGAAAAAUAUUGAACCUCUAAAAGCCACGCUACUCAGUAAAUAUAUCUGAUUAUUAUUCAUUCACACUAUUCAAUGAGUAACCGAGUUUUACAAUUAUUUUAUGCUUCU
Molecule: non-coding RNA, 851 nt
Filed under: Zootermopsis nevadensis
Lineage: Eukaryota; Metazoa; Arthropoda; Insecta; Blattodea; Termopsidae
Description: eukaryotic large subunit ribosomal RNA
Rfam family: Eukaryotic large subunit ribosomal RNA
Source: Rfam by way of RNAcentral